GGGGAUGUGGCUCAGUGGUAGAGUACCUGCCUGGCAUGUGGGAGGCCCUGGGUUUGAUCUCUGGCAUCUCAA
This 72-nucleotide transfer RNA is filed under the name Ictidomys tridecemlineatus (thirteen-lined ground squirrel). RNAcentral's name for it is "Spermophilus tridecemlineatus (thirteen-lined ground squirrel) tRNA". It matches the Rfam family "tRNA". From Rfam's summary of the family: Transfer RNA (tRNA) molecules are approximately 80 nucleotides in length. Their secondary structure includes four short double-helical elements and three loops (D, anti-codon, and T loops). The record is from Rfam by way of RNAcentral. Lineage: Eukaryota; Metazoa; Chordata; Mammalia; Rodentia; Sciuridae.